This 400-nucleotide ribosomal RNA is filed under the name uncultured bacterium. RNAcentral's name for it is "bacterial SSU rRNA". It matches the Rfam family "Bacterial small subunit ribosomal RNA", at positions 355 to 747 of the family's 1533-position model. The record is from RNAcentral.
UGGGGAAUUUUGGACAAUGGGGGCAACCCUGAUCCAGCCAUGCCGCGUGUGUGAAGAAGGCCUUCGGGUUGUAAAGCACUUUUGUCAGGAACGAAACGGUCUGCACUAAUACUGCGGACUAAUGACGGUACCUGAAGAAUAAGCACCGGCUAACUACGUGCCAGCAGCCGCGGUAAUACGUAGGGUGCAAGCGUUAAUCGGAAUUACUGGGCGUAAAGCGUGCGCAGGCGGUUGUGUAAGACAGAUGUGAAAUCCCCGGGCUUAACCUGGGAACUGCAUUUGUGACUGCACGGCUAGAGUGUGUCAGAGGGGGGUAGAAUUCCACGUGUAGCAGUGAAAUGCGUAGAGAUGUGGAGGAAUACCGAUGGCGAAGGCAGCCCCCUGGGAUAACACUGACGCU